RNAcentral lists this ribosomal RNA (291 nucleotides) under uncultured bacterium. Its description in RNAcentral is "partial 16S ribosomal RNA". It matches the Rfam family "Bacterial small subunit ribosomal RNA", at positions 773 to 1060 of the family's 1533-position model. The record is from RNAcentral.
GUGGAUUAGAUACCCUGGUAGUCCACGCCCUAAACGAUGUCAACUAGGUGUUGGGUGGGUAAAACCAUUUAGUACCGUAGCUAACGCGUGAAGUUGACCGCCUGGGGAGUACGGCCGCAAGGUUAAAACUCAAAGGAAUUGACGGGGACCCGCACAAGCGGUGGAUGAUGUGGAUUAAUUCGAUGCAACGCGAAAAACCUUACCUACCCUUGACAUGUUCAGAAGCCUGAAGAGAUUUGGGUGUGCCCGAAAGGGAACUGGAACACAGGUGCUGCAUGGCCGUCGUCAACU